GGAUGCGAUCAUACCAGCACUAAAGCACCGGAUCCCAUCAGAACUCCGAAGUUAAGCUUGGGCGAGAGUAAUACUAGGAUGGGUGACCUCCUGGGAAGUCCUCGUGUUGCAUUCC
Molecule: ribosomal RNA, 115 nt
Filed under: Triticum aestivum (bread wheat)
Lineage: Eukaryota; Viridiplantae; Streptophyta; Magnoliopsida; Poales; Poaceae
Source: RNAcentral